This is a non-coding RNA of Schistosoma margrebowiei, 45 nucleotides long. NCBI's taxonomy places the organism in Eukaryota, Metazoa, Platyhelminthes, Trematoda, Strigeidida, Schistosomatidae. The record is from Rfam.
AUCCAGCUGAAGAGUGUGAAAUGGGACGAAACACGCGUCCUGGAU